GGCUAAGUCCGUUCGGCGG
This 19-nucleotide small RNA is filed under the name Arabidopsis thaliana (thale cress). Its description in RNAcentral is "Ath_wt_05410". Lineage: Eukaryota; Viridiplantae; Streptophyta; Magnoliopsida; Brassicales; Brassicaceae. The record is from RNAcentral.